GAUGAACGCUGACAGAGUGCUUAACACAUGCAAGUCAACUUGAACUUCGGUUUGGGUGGCGGACGGGUGAGUAACGCGUAAAGAACUUGCCUCACAGUUAGGGACAACAUUUGGAAACGAAUGCUAAUACCUGAUAUUAUGAUUUUAGGGCAUCCUAGAAUUAUGAAAGCUAUAUGCGCUGUGAGAGAGCUUUGCGUCCCAUUAGCUAGUUGGAGAGGUAACGGCUCACCAAGGCGAUGAUGGGUAGCCGGCCUGAGAGGGUGAACGGCCACAAGGGGACUGAGACACGGCCCUUACUCCUACGGGAGGCAGCAGUGGGGAAUAUUGGACAAUGGACCAAGAGUCUGAUCCAGCAAUUCUGUGUGCACGAUGAAGUUUUUCGGAAUGUAAAGUGCUUUCAGUUGGGAAGAAAAAAAUGACGAUACCAACAGAAGAAGUGACGGCUAAAUACGUG
Molecule: ribosomal RNA, 454 nt
Filed under: uncultured bacterium
Lineage: Bacteria
Description: partial 16S ribosomal RNA
Rfam family: Bacterial small subunit ribosomal RNA
Source: RNAcentral